Molecule: small nuclear RNA, 107 nt
Filed under: Chinchilla lanigera (long-tailed chinchilla)
Lineage: Eukaryota; Metazoa; Chordata; Mammalia; Rodentia; Chinchillidae
Source: RNAcentral
GUGCUUUCUUCAGCAUCACAUAUACUAAAAGUGGAAUGACGCAGAGAAGGUUAGCAUGGCUCCUGUCCAAAAAUGACACACAAAUUUAUGAAGCGUUCCAUAUUUUU